UGUGAUGUCUAUAUCAAUAGAAAUAGGCCACAAUCCUGUCACCUUAGGUCGAUCGGUACCUCAAAUUGAUAUCCAAAAUUAGUUAUCGAUUUCAGUUCCUAAACUUGUCUAGGUCACACCCAACGAGGGUACUCCUGGGCCAUUAGCUCAGGUGGUUAGAGCGCACCCCUGAUAAGGGUGAGGUCCCUGGUUCAAGUCCAGGAUGGCCCAUUCGGUGUUGGGGGUUUAGCUCAGUUGGUAGAGCGCCUGCUUUGCAAGCAGGAUGUCAGCGGUUCGAGUCCGCUAACCUCCACUGGCCAACCUCAAACUAAAUCCAAGGAGUUUACUUUCUUUGAGGUGAUUUAGACUUAGUUUUAUCUGAAUGUACCUAGCUUCCUAUCAUUCCAACUCUAAAAAAUUAGAUUAGGCUGAAAGGACGCUGGGCUCACUGCAUGUCAUUCGAUUUGCAGAUUAGUUCAGUAGAACCUUGACAACUGCAUAGGUGAGUCUGGAAAAAAUAAAGCAUCUCAUGGAUGCAUUUUUCUAUUUAAAUAGUUUUAGUUUUUCUAUAAUUUAUAAAAGCUAAAAAACUAUUUAAACCAGUUAAAUGUUUGAUUCUUGAGUAAGAGCCGAGACUCCAUAA
This 622-nucleotide transfer RNA is filed under the name uncultured Prochlorococcus sp. RNAcentral's name for it is "partial 16S-23S ribosomal RNA intergenic spacer". The stretch from base 220 to 292 matches the Rfam family "tRNA". Lineage: Bacteria; Bacillati; Cyanobacteriota; Cyanophyceae; Synechococcales; Prochlorococcaceae. The record is from RNAcentral.